GACGAACGCUGGCGGCGUGCUUAACACAUGCAAGUCGAACGGAAAGGCCCUGCUUUUGUGGGGUGCUCGAGUGGCGAACGGGUGAGUAACACGUGAGUAACCUGCCCUUGACUUUGGGAUAACUUCAGGAGACUGGGGCUAAUACCGGAUAGGAGCUCCUGCUGCAUGGUGGGGGUUGGAAAGUUUCGGCGGUUGGGGAUGGACUCGCGGCUUAUCAGCUUGUUGGUGGGGUAGUGGCUUACCAAGGCUUUGACGGGUAGCCGGCCUGAGAGGGUGACCGGCCACAUUGGGACUGAGAUACGGCCCAGACUCCUACGGGAGGCAGCGGUGGGGAAUAUUGCACAAUGGGCGGAAGCCUGAUGCAGCAACGCCGCGUGCGGGAUGACGGCCUUCGGGUUGUAAACCGCUUUCGCCUGUGACGAAGCGUGAGUGACGGUAAUGGGUAAAGAAGCACCGGCUAACUACGUG
RNAcentral lists this ribosomal RNA (468 nucleotides) under uncultured bacterium. RNAcentral's name for it is "partial 16S ribosomal RNA". It matches the Rfam family "Bacterial small subunit ribosomal RNA", at positions 28 to 507 of the family's 1533-position model. The record is from RNAcentral.